GUGAACGAGGUGUGGGCAGUGUAGAAGCCGUCUGUGCCGGAGCAAACGCGAUAAGUUCACCGCCUGGGGAGUACGGUCGCAAGGCUAAAACCCAAAGGAAUUGACGGGGGCCCGCACAAGCAGCGGAGCGUGUGGUUUAAUUCGAUGCAACGCGAAGAACCUUACCUGGGCUUGACAUGUACGUAGUAGUGAAGGGAAACCGGAACGAGCCUUCGGGCAGCGUAGACAGGUGCUGCAUGGCUGUCGUCAGCUCGUGUCGUGAGAUGUUGGGUUAAGUCCCGCAACGAGCGCAACCCGUGUUGCUAGUUACAAGUGUCUAGCGAGACUGCCGGUAACAAGCCGGAGGAAGGUGCGGAUGAUGUCAAGUCAGCAUGGCCUAUAUGUCCAGGGCUACACACACGCUACAAUGGCUGGUACAAAGAGAAGCGAAAGGGAGACCUGAAGCGAAUCUCAUCAAAGCCAGUCAUAGUUCGGAUUGCAGGCUGCAACUCGCCUGCAUGAAGUCGGAGUUGCUAGUAACCGCAGGUCAGCAAUACUGCGGUGAAUACGUUCCCGGGCCUUGUACACAC
Molecule: ribosomal RNA, 569 nt
Filed under: uncultured bacterium
Lineage: Bacteria
Description: bacterial SSU rRNA
Rfam family: Bacterial small subunit ribosomal RNA
Source: RNAcentral